GAAGAUAUAGCUAUAAUAGUAAUUGCAAGAAAAUCUCCAGAGAACUUCCCAUGUAUAAUGUCUUUUAUGAAGAUACCAGUGUCUCCACUUGCCUACCAAAACACUCUUACAUUUUCCCAAUCCUGGCUUCAGAGAACACAUAGGUACCUUAUCAUUUGAGUCCAAGGUGUAUUGGCAGCUUCUUAAAAGAGAGUCUGUGGUCUGACUUCCCCUCUCCCUGUAGGCAAAGCCUUCCAUAAGCAGUUUACUAAAAUUAUUUGGUGUCUCUGUAAGUUUUUAUAGAGCUAUAAGCUUCUCACUACACGGUAAGUUCUAAUUUUAAUUUUAAUCAUCAUGAAAGUCAUUAAUCCAUAAAUGGGCCCUGUUUAGCCCUCUUUGGACAAAGAAACUAUUUACACAGAGAGGAUACUACCUUCCAAGCCAGCAGCUCAAUUUUAUAUCCUGGAGUUUCCCUUCAACAUAUUUAGCUUGUUUUCCAUGUGGCCUGUGUUUUCACUUGCCCCAGGAAAAAAGAUGCAAAAUCACACUGUUCUCUGUAAGGCGUAUUUAAUCUGGUUGCUAUCCCUUGCUAAUUUCUCUUCCAUCCGCAUUGUCUGGAUGGGAGAAAAGCCUGUCUGCCCAUGAGUAGCAGAGGUAAUCAUGUGUUGUUGCAAAAUUGCAGCAGGAUCAAACAAGACAAUCAGGUAAUGAAGAUGACAACCUGACAAAUAUUGGCAGAUUAUGAUUCCCGGCGACUUGUCUUCCUCCUCUCCCACUCAUGGCAAGCUCUCACACCCACGUCCCCAUCUCCGACCUCUGCUCUGAUCAUUGUUCCUGAUGUGGCUUUACCACAUAUGACACCCACGCCAAGUGGAUGGGUCCUUGAACCUUUGCUACUCCCACCUCAGAUUCUCAUUUAACCUCAUUGGGAUGGGAACAACUUAAAAAUGGAUAAUAACAAGCGUGCUGUUUGAGCCAUAGACCAGAUUCUGGAGUCCAUGGUAACAGAAAACAUGAGCUACCUCAGGAGUACAAAGCAGAAACCCACACUUGAUCAUCAGAAGCCCUAGCAGGUAUUUAACCAAGAAGGGAGCUGGUAAUGGAGGACCCAGAUGUUACCUGGAGGAAAAUGAAGCAAGGUAGAAGCAGUUACUCAUACCACUGCAACAGGCAUGCGAAGAUUUGUCAUUAAAUGCCAGCCAAGUGCCGGGAAUAUUUCUGAUAUUAUUCGACUGUUUGUUUGUUAAGCAAAUGUUGAGUUCUGACGCUCAGCCAGCCACUGACUUGUGGACUGGAGAUAUAAUUUAUUGCCUCCAUUUUAUCCAUGAAGAAACUGAGGUACAAAGACAUUCUGUAACUCACCUGAUGUCACACAGCUUUUAAGUGAUAGAGCAGUAUAGGAGCCCAGAUUUACUGAACUGAAAGCCCACACUCUUUCUCUCGUGUCACACUACAGGGGAAAGCAAAAGACUAGAAUUGGGAAACAGGCAUAAAACAACCUAGCCCCAUAAGACCCUAAUUGUUCCCAAACAGAAUCUCACAGAAUUAUAUUGUACUACCUGGUAUUUUUUUAAUAUUUCCUUUUUUCUAAAUUUACUUUUUCCAGAUGGUAUGGGUUAAAUUCACAUUAAUAAUCUGUUUUCAACAUAAACGAUUAAUUUCGUAAAUAGGGUAUUCUCUAUAUUAGUGAUCCCGUAUUAAGAAAGAUUUCACAUGUCAAUCUAUGGUAACAAAAAAAUUGGAAAAGCAAUUAUUUGAUGAGUGCUCACUUGGAGUAUAACUGUGUCAUCACAUAUUCAUUUAGGUCAUAUUCUAUGAUAUAUUACCUAAUUUCAAAGCAGGGAUUAUGCCUCACUGUUCUUUGGUUCCAAACCAAGUCCCUCAUGUAGGGCUUUGUAAAGAAGUAGGUAUUUAAAGAUAAUAGUGAAUUGAAUGGAAAAAAAGUUUUUUUUCUGUUUACCUAGCCUCACAUAAAUGUUUUUAGUGACUCUCUGUGAAUUUAUUUAAUAAAUAUUGGCUCCUCAGAGAUUUUGCAUACUUCACUGUUUUGUGAGAUAAUUCUAUCUGCAGGCAUAUAUUCACAAAUUCAAAGUCUUUAGUUGAAGUUUCAAGAGUAAUGGAGUAGAAUUUCAGUACCUUCCCCAGGAGGUUAGAAUUAUAAAAUUCUUAGUUUGGGAUUUACUUCUCCCUUCUGAUUUAUUCCAGGCACCAGAUUCUACUCUCUCUGUCAAACAGAAUAUGCAAGCCAUCUGAGGCUGAUUCUUCCCGGAAAUUAACUCCAGCGCCCACCCCAUCUGGUUAUUACAAGAUAUUGAAUGUAGUUCCCUAUGCUAUAUGGAAGAAAAUGAAGAGGUGGAGGAAGUAUGGAAAGCUGUUUCUUCACUGAACUUCCCUGAGAAGGGGCCAAGGAAGAGAUUGGCUUCAAGCUGAAGAUUUUGAAAAUAACUCUUUUAAAAGAUGCAAGAAGAUGGCCAUCUGCAAACCAGGAAGUGGGUCUUCUCCAGACACCAUAUCUGCUGGCACAUUGAUCUUGG
Long non-coding RNA from Globicephala melas (long-finned pilot whale), 2513 nucleotides. RefSeq lists it as uncharacterized. Lineage: Eukaryota; Metazoa; Chordata; Mammalia; Artiodactyla; Delphinidae. The record is from RefSeq and is a predicted model, not a curated record.